Molecule: long non-coding RNA, 709 nt
Organism: Oryzias melastigma (Indian medaka)
Lineage: Eukaryota; Metazoa; Chordata; Actinopteri; Beloniformes; Adrianichthyidae
Exons: 3
Source: RefSeq, a predicted model, not a curated record
UGAUGAUGAUGAGGGUUUCCUCUGCAGAUGAAGGCUGGAGGAAGGUGUGUGUGAGCUGAUCCAGUGGAUCCAGUGAAUCCAGCAGCAUGGAUCAGUGUGAUUACAAACAGGAGGAAGCCCUUCCCUCUAAAAGCACUCUGUGUGGGGAAGAUGAGAGCCAGAGCAAAGCUCAGAGGAACCGACCUGGAUCUGGAUCUGGAUCUGGAUCCAGCCGGGGGUACUUCGGAAGUGUGAAACCAAUGUUUUUUUCUCAUUUACUCGACGACCUCCCUUCAGGAGCGGAACAGAUCCAACAGAAAUCUGGAUCCAGCUGUGUGUCCAACAGGAGUGACGACUCAAAGCAUCAAAAUCCUGACUUCAAGUCGAUCAGUUUAGCAGUGGAACAGUAAGUGUUUGUCAGAGUUAAAAGAGUCUGGAUAAUCGUUCAGAUGAUCAAUAGUUUUCAGAUGAAUGACUUGAGUUCUGGUUCAGUUCUUGAUCUCUCUGAUCAGACUCUCUUGGAUCAUCAUGUGUGAUCAAAUCUUUUCAGUUGAUCUCCUGAGAGUCUCUGAGAUCAGAGAUGUUGGAGAAACUUUAAACAGAAAUACAUCUUUCUACAUUUUCUGAUUUGGACAAAUGUUUGGAUCAAAAAAGAAACUGUUUUGACAAAAAUUUUAAUGAUAGUUAUUUACGGGUUUCUUGUCUGGACUGUAUGGAAAAAAAAACAAAA